Long non-coding RNA from Clupea harengus (Atlantic herring), 1015 nucleotides. The record is from Ensembl. Lineage: Eukaryota; Metazoa; Chordata; Actinopteri; Clupeiformes; Clupeidae.
GGCAUCCAGGCUACAAUUUACCAUUACGUUUCGUACAUUUCAAUAUUCAAUCACCCCAAUAUAUGUACACGUGUCUUUAACAUGCAAUCAAAAUUGACAUGCAAUGGUUAUGAGUUAAUUUUUAAAGGUAAUUUCUUACAAUGCAAUAAAAAGUGAGUAUUAGAUUUAAAACGUUUAAAUGUAGCCUAUUACGAAGUACCUGCCUCAGAAAGUGAGCGAGUGUGUUUGAGAUAGAGGCUAAAAAUGCUUGGGUACCAUCCCCAGCCAGGAAACCCAAUACUGAUUAAUGCAUGUAAUAUGUGUCUACCUGCGAGCUGCAGGUGUGUGUGUUUGUGCCAUAUUCAUUUCAUUUGAUUAUUUUGGCUAGAUUUGUAUUGUUACUGUGUGUGUGUGUCUGUGUUGGGUGAGAGAAUCCCAAUGCUAAAUCAAUAGCCUCCAUAGGUGUGUGUGUGUGUGUGUGUGUAUCCCAAUGCUGAAUAGGCUCCCGGUGUAAAAGCCAGAGAUCUGGGUUCAGAGUCUCAGACCAUGUAUCACAAACGUAUACACAAAUCAAUAAACAUACACAAUUGAUUUGACUAAAUUCACAUAUACAACUGGAGAGACAUCGCACUGGCAUGAGGUAUCCAGUGACUCCUAAUGUACAUGGAUUUAUAUAGUAGCAACAAAUGGAGUCAAUACUUCCCUUUGACACUGGACACAGUUUACAGGGGAAGGGUGGACACAGAUGCGGAUACAUGAGGAAACUACAUUAGGCAUAACACAACACACAACAGACUCCUAAUCACUAACAGAAGAUACACACUGACCUACACACGAACAUUACACAUAUAAAUACACAUUCCACCCUACAGCUACUAAACGCUCGGAAUUAUGGGUGAACUCACCAUACUGGGAUCACAAACAUAAGCGCACACACCCCUGCACACUACAAUAUAUACACACACACACACACACACACACACACACACACACACACCCUGCACACUACAAUAUAUACACACACACACACACACAC